This 152-nucleotide ribosomal RNA is filed under the name uncultured Bacillus sp. RNAcentral describes it as "partial 16S ribosomal RNA". It matches the Rfam family "Bacterial small subunit ribosomal RNA", at positions 382 to 553 of the family's 1533-position model. Lineage: Bacteria; Bacillati; Bacillota; Bacilli; Caryophanales; Bacillaceae. The record is from RNAcentral.
CCUGAUGCAGCGACGCCGCGUGAAGGAAGAAGGUCUUCGGAUCGUAAACUUCUGUCGUCAGGGAAGAAGAUAGUGACUGUACCUGACUAACAAGCCCCGGCUAACUACGUGCCAGCAGCCGCGGUAAUUAGUGCCAGCAGCCGCGGUAAUAA